UACGUAGGGUGCAAGCGUUGUCCGGAAUUAUUGGGCGUAAAGAGCUCGUAGGUGGCGGGUCACGUCGGGUGUGAAAGCCCGGGGCUUAACUCCGGGUCUGCAUUCGAUACGGGUCUGCUGGGGUCCGGCAGGGGAGACUGGAAUUCCUGGUGUAGCGGUGAAAUGCGCAGAUAUCAGGAGGAACACCGGUGGCGAAGGCGGGUCUCUGGGCAGUAACUGACGCUGAGGAGCGAAAGCGUGGGGAGCGAACAGG
This 253-nucleotide ribosomal RNA is filed under the name uncultured bacterium. Its description in RNAcentral is "partial 16S ribosomal RNA". It matches the Rfam family "Bacterial small subunit ribosomal RNA", at positions 524 to 776 of the family's 1533-position model. The record is from RNAcentral.